Molecule: long non-coding RNA, 702 nt
Organism: Mandrillus leucophaeus (drill)
Lineage: Eukaryota; Metazoa; Chordata; Mammalia; Primates; Cercopithecidae
Exons: 2
Source: RefSeq, a predicted model, not a curated record
CACUGGAACCUGCUGAGCCGUGCAGGGCAGCCUGGUGGUGACCGGGACACUCUUACAGAGGACCUGGAGCUGGGCUGCUCCCAGGGCUCCCGUCUCCUGCUGGGUCUGGUCUCAGGUGCACCCUCGUCCCGCAGGAGGUGGGGGCAAGAGCAACUUCAGCCCCUUUUGCUCCCCGUGGCAGAAGUCCUCCUGGCAGGGUAUGCCCACGCUGGUUAGUGCUGCUGCAAAGAUGAGCCGAAGACCAUGAGAGACCCCAGGUGGUCCUUCUGGGGAAAAGAAAUGGGUUUUGGCCCCAAACCCUUUUGCUGCAUUUUUCCCCUAUCCCUGGGAAGCCAUGAGACCUCAAAUCUGUGUUCCCAAGGAGGAGAGCAGCUGUUGCCAGGUGAUAAUAUGACAUGCUUGGGGAAAGUAAGUGGCUGCCAGACAUGGCUGAGAGCUGUUGUCACUGGCAUCAAGUGCGUGUCUCCAAGCCUCAUCACACGGCGUCCCUCGACGUGAGGCCACAUGGCAAGUGGGCCGCGGAUCUCCCCUGCCCUUUGCAAGCACGUAAGACAGCAGGUUUUGCAGAUACCUUGUGGCGCAGGGGAAUUUCCUUUGGCCAGGUCUGAAGAAGUAAAGUAGCAGGCACAGAGAACAAAGCCAAGGCUUUCAAAAGGCAAGGAGCCAAAAAAUUUUUCAAAAUAAAAGUAGUUUUAAAACGUC